CCUACGGGAGGCAGCAGUGGGGAAUAUUGGACAAUGGGCGAAAGCCUGAUCCAGCAAUGCCGCGUGAGUGAUGAAGGCCUUAGGGUUGUAAAGCUCUUUUACCAGGGAUGAUAAUGACAGUACCUGGAGAAUAAGCUCCGGCUAACUCCGUGCCAGCAGCCGCGGUAAUACGGAGGGAGCUAGCGUUGUUCGGAAUUACUGGGCGUAAAGAGUACGUAGGCGGUGAUUCAAGUCAGAGGUGAAAGCCUGGAGCUCAACUCCAGAACUGCCUUUGAAACUAGAUCGCUAGAAUCAUGGAGAGGUUAGUGGAAUUCCGAGUGUAGAGGUGAAAUUCGUAGAUAUUCGGAAGAACACCAGUGGCGAAGGCGACUAACUGGACAUGUAUUGACGCUGAGGUACGAAAGCGUGGGGAGCAAACAGGAUUAGAUACCCUGGUAGUCCACGCCGUAAACGAUGAUAACUAGCUGUUCGGGGUCUACGAUCCUGAGUGGCGCNGCUACGACAUAAGUUAUCCGUCCGUCGGGAGGUACGGUCGCGACGAAUUAAACUUAAACUUAAGUAAGUUAGUACGGCGUGAGACGUGCCGACGGACGACGACGAGGGAGGUUAGG
This 611-nucleotide ribosomal RNA is filed under the name uncultured bacterium. RNAcentral's name for it is "bacterial SSU rRNA". The stretch from base 1 to 517 matches the Rfam family "Bacterial small subunit ribosomal RNA", at positions 338 to 873 of the family's 1533-position model. The record is from RNAcentral.